RNAcentral lists this unclassified non-coding RNA (275 nucleotides) under Hevea brasiliensis (rubber tree). Lineage: Eukaryota; Viridiplantae; Streptophyta; Magnoliopsida; Malpighiales; Euphorbiaceae. The record is from RNAcentral.
GGUUUGAUCAGAAACAGAAGAAGGUGGCGCACAAGGAAGAAGCGGAAGCGUGAUAAGAUUAGAAUUAGGAGAGGGAUCUUCAAAUGGAAGAGAAAGGUGAGGAAGUAAAGAAGCAGUAGGAAAGGGGUGGUGGAGAGAGAAUUUGGGAGACGGAGUAGUUCUGGAUCGUUUCAAGGCAUGAGGGGAAAUGGGAGGAGGACGAGCUCUCUUGCGAGUACGAGUGGGUCUGGCUUGUAACUGAGGCCAUACAUUACGAAGAAAGGUGGAGGAGGAAG